ACGUCAAGUCCUCAUGGCCCUUACGGGCUGGGCUACACACGUGCUACAAUGGCGGUGACAGAGGGGUGCGAAGGGGCGACCCGGAGCCGAUCCCGAAAAGCCGUCUCAGUUCGGAUUGCACUCUGCAACUCGAGUGCAUGAAGUCGGAAUCGCUAGUAAUCGCGUUUCAAUAUAGCGCGGUGAAUACGUCCCUGCUCCUU
Molecule: ribosomal RNA, 200 nt
Filed under: uncultured organism
Description: partial small subunit ribosomal RNA
Rfam family: Bacterial small subunit ribosomal RNA
Source: RNAcentral